AAAAUUCACCGGGCCGAGUCCAAAGAUAAGAAAUGUCAAAAAAUGGGAACUGGUUGAUGGAUAUGGAUGAAACUUUGCAUCAGUGUUGUGUUUAUGAAUAGAAGUCAGGAAAAUAAAGGAUUACUGACAGACCAUGCAGUUACCAAAGCCUGGGUUUGAGUAUAUGACCUUACCUUUUCCUGGUAAAGAUCUAUAGAAGGACUCCUUCAGCUCUGUUUGGCAGCAGCUUUGUCAGGACACAUUGAGAAGGAACUCAUUUGUUGGUGGAAGGAUUAAAGAUGUACUACCCACCAGCUGUCAGGAGUUUUUAAAGUGGUGAAUUUAAACAGUGUUACAACAGAAUGAAGAUUUCUGAAAAAAGUAGAUGGCUAACCUAUUAUAUUUUGGGCAUCAUUUGACUUAGAUAGUGUUAAUGUUUAAAGUUGAAGACAGUAUAUAAUUCAUCAAGAACAUUGGAAUCCAGAAUUAAACCUCAAAUUUGACUGAUUUACUAUAGAACUAAUAGUACGAAAAUUCACCGGGCCGAGUCCUACUGAGGCCUUCGAAUUAAUAAUU
Molecule: long non-coding RNA, 555 nt
Organism: Ruditapes philippinarum (Manila clam)
Lineage: Eukaryota; Metazoa; Mollusca; Bivalvia; Venerida; Veneridae
Exons: 3
Source: RefSeq, a predicted model, not a curated record